UGAGUGAUGAAGGCCCUAGGGUUGUAAAGCCCUUUUACCCGGGAAGAUAAUGACUGUACCGGGAGAAUAAGCCCCGGCUAACUCCGUGCCAGCAGCCGCGGUAAUACGGAGGGGGCUAGCGUUGUUCGGAAUUACUGGGCGUAAAGCGCACGUAGGCGGCUUUGUAAGUCAGAGGUGAAAGCCUGGAGCUCAACUCCAGAACUGCCUUUGAGACUGCAUCGCUUGAAUCCAGGAGAGGUCAGUGGAAUUCCGAGUGUAGAGGUGAAAUUCGUAGAUAUUCGCAAGAACACCAGUGGCGAAGGCGGCCAACUGGUCCGAUACUGACGCUGAGGCGCGAAAGCGUGGGGAGCAAACAGGAUUAGAUACCCUGGUAGUCCACGCCGUAAACGA
This 390-nucleotide ribosomal RNA is filed under the name uncultured bacterium. RNAcentral describes it as "bacterial SSU rRNA". It matches the Rfam family "Bacterial small subunit ribosomal RNA", at positions 402 to 809 of the family's 1533-position model. The record is from RNAcentral.